RNAcentral lists this small RNA (79 nucleotides) under Saccharicrinis carchari. RNAcentral describes it as "Flavo-1 RNA". It matches the Rfam family "Flavo-1 RNA". Lineage: Bacteria; Pseudomonadati; Bacteroidota; Bacteroidia; Marinilabiliales; Marinilabiliaceae. The record is from Rfam by way of RNAcentral.
UCAUUGCGUUAGGGAUUGCAGCGGAAAUCCUUUUUGUGUGGUACGAGCAAAAAGAUUAUAGCGGAAAGCCCGACCCGAC